GAUGCGUGAUAUGGAGACACCAGUGGCGAAGGCGGCUCUCUGGUCUGCAACUGACGCUGAGGCUCGAAAGCAUGGGUAGCGAACAGGAUUAGAUACCCUGGUAGUCCAUGCCGUAAACGAUGAGUGCUAAGUGUUGGGAGGUUUCCGCCUCUCAGUGCUGCAGCUAACGCAUUAAGCACUCCGCCUGGGGAGUACGACCGCAAGGUUGAAACUCAAAGGAAUUGACGGGGGCCCGCACAAGCGGUGGAGCAUGUGGUUUAAUUCGAAGCAACGCGAAGAACCUUACCAGGUCUUGACAUCUAGUGCAAUCUGUAAAGAUAAGGAGUUCCCUUCGGGGACGCUAAGACAGGGGGGGCAUGGGUGUCGCCAGCUCGUGUCGUGAGAUGUUGGGUUAAGUCCCGCAACGAGCGCAACCCUUGUUAUUAGUUGCCAGCAUUAAGUUGGGCACUCUAAUGAGACUGCGGGUGACAAACCGGAGGAAGGGGGGGAUGACAUCAAAUCAUCAUGCCCCUUAUGACUUGGGCUAAAAC
This 530-nucleotide ribosomal RNA is filed under the name uncultured Lactobacillales bacterium. Its description in RNAcentral is "bacterial SSU rRNA". It matches the Rfam family "Bacterial small subunit ribosomal RNA", at positions 685 to 1219 of the family's 1533-position model. Lineage: Bacteria; Bacillati; Bacillota; Bacilli; Lactobacillales. The record is from RNAcentral.